UACGGGGGGAGCAAGCGUUGUUCGGAUUUACUGGGCGUAAAGGGCGCGUAGGCGGUCACGACAAGUCAGUUGUGAAAUCUCCGGGCUUAACUCGGAACGGUCAACUGAUACUGUCGGACUAGAGUGCAGAAGGGGCAACUGGAAUUCUCGGUGUAGCGGUGAAAUGCGUAGAUAUCAAGAGGAACACCUGAGGUGAAGACGGGUUGCUGGGCCGACACUGACGCUGAUGCGCGAAAGCCAGGGGAGCAAACGGG
RNAcentral lists this ribosomal RNA (254 nucleotides) under uncultured bacterium. RNAcentral describes it as "partial 16S ribosomal RNA". It matches the Rfam family "Bacterial small subunit ribosomal RNA", at positions 524 to 776 of the family's 1533-position model. The record is from RNAcentral.